This 827-nucleotide long non-coding RNA is filed under the name Rosa chinensis. RNAcentral's name for it is "sRNA RchiOBHm_Chr2g0163381". The record is from RNAcentral. Lineage: Eukaryota; Viridiplantae; Streptophyta; Magnoliopsida; Rosales; Rosaceae.
UAUUUAUCAUGUACAAAGGUAAUUCCAAAACCUUUUAUUCCAGAUAAUUGCUUUAAGUAACUUGUUAUUGACUUAUUUGUAGAACAUAUAACUUGGGAAACAGAUAUCUCAACUGGUGCAUAUCUUUGAUUGUAUCUAACUUUUGUUGUCUCACUUUUGUCCAUAUUACAAGAUGACCUAUUUGGCACUGUUUUGUUUUUGGAGUUCAAUUUUUUACAUGUUAAUUUGUAGGCUCUGAUGGAAAUCACUCCAAAUUUCAGCCUCUGUCUCUUCCUAAUUCUAAAAAGAGUGCAAACGGAGGAGCAUACUUGGAGGUGCAGUUCUUUUCCUCUCCAUCGUCCACCAUACUAAACAAGCUCAAGACUCCACAACUCCCAAAAGGAAAAUGGAUCCUUUUUUACUGGCUGUCAUUCUUAUGGGUGUCCACAAUAGCAAAGACAUACUUUUAAUCAUUCUUUGGUAAUCAUUCGCAGAAGUCAGCUUGUUGUAUAUGUAUUCAAUAUAACUUUGCAAUGAGGCUUAGUGGCUUACGGGAUAAGGAUGAUUUUAUGUUAUCUACUUUCAACUCCAUCAGCUUUUUGUUUGAAACUAGUAUCUAGUCCUCACAUUUUUGUAUAGAUGAAAGAAAGCAUGUGCUAGGAGUAACAGAUCAGUGUCUUUAUAAAGGCUUUUUGUUUCGAGUAGGAUUUACAUCAUUUGUACAAAAGGAAAAUAGCUUUGGCUGAGACAAUGUAGCAGUUUUUAAUUUAUGAAUGUUAACACUUUCUAUUUCAAUUGAUACCGAAAUUAUGUAAUGAGCAAUUGUUCAUUUGUGUACUUCUGACAGC